Molecule: ribosomal RNA, 492 nt
Filed under: uncultured bacterium
Lineage: Bacteria
Description: partial 16S ribosomal RNA
Rfam family: Bacterial small subunit ribosomal RNA
Source: RNAcentral
AGUGAACGCUGGCGGUAGGCCUAACACAUGCAAGUCGAACGGCAGCACAGUAAGAGCUUGCUCUUACGGGUGGCGAGUGGCGGACGGGUGAGGAAUACAUCGGAAUCUACUUUUUCGAGGGGGAUAACGUAGGGAAACUUACGCUAAUACCGCAUACGACCUACGGGUGAAAGCAGGGGAUCUUCGGACCUUGCGCGAUUGAAUGAGACGAUGUCGGAUUAGCUAGUUGGCGGGGUAAAGGCCCACCAAGGCGACGAUCCGUAGCUGGUCUGAGAGGAUGAUCAGCCACACUGGAACUGAGACACGGUCCAGACUCCUACGGGAGGCAGCAGUGGGGAAUAUUGGACAAUGGGCGCAAGCCUGAUCCAGCCAUACCGCGUGGGUGAAGAAGGCCUUCGGGUUGUAAAGCCCUUUUGUUGGGAAAGAAAAGCAGCAGGUUAAUACCCCGCUGUUCUGACGGUACCCAAAGAAUAAGCACCGGCUAACUUCGUG